This is a long non-coding RNA of Ziziphus jujuba (common jujube), 3352 nucleotides long. RefSeq lists it as uncharacterized. The record is from RefSeq and is a predicted model, not a curated record. The transcript has 5 exons. Lineage: Eukaryota; Viridiplantae; Streptophyta; Magnoliopsida; Rosales; Rhamnaceae.
ACAAACAAGCAAAAAUAUAUAAUCAGUGUCUUUCUUUUACCGAAACGUCCACAGCAUGCCACAUUCUCUUUCAAACUGAUAUGAGACACCCAAUUCCAUUCCAAAAAUUUCCGCCGGAAUUCAGUCCAAAUCCAACGACAAAUGCAUGGGGAAGUACAAAACAUUUUAAUAACAAGUCUCUGGAAGUAGAAAGGUCUCCUUACAUUUACUGCUACUGACACCCACCACUAUCAAUUUCUUCUUCUUCUUCUUCUUCUUCAAGAAAGACACCCCCAAACCAUCACUACGACCACCAUCUUCUUCUUCUUCUUCACCGCAGCAAAAGAGAGAUGGAUUCAAGCCCAUCAAAAUGGACAUCCCUCCCAGUCCACAUGCUAGAAGAGAUUACGAAGCGCUUAGACAUUCGUACGUACAUUCUCCACCUACGCGCCUCUUGGCGUCUUCAGUUCCUCUUCCACCCAAGAGCCUCCUCUGUAACCCUAAUGGUUCACCUCUCAAACUUCCAUUUCCAAUCGAUCCCAACAGCGACCUCCACAGCAAUCGUAGAGGCCACCUCUUACUCAAAGAGAGCACCAUCUACUGCCUCGAACCCUUGACCACGGAGAUUUCAUCCAGUACUACCAACUGCUGGUUUGUUAGGAUUGAAGACGCUGACGACUCCCGAAAAGUUCUUUCAAGCAUCUUCGCACCAUCAACAAACGAAGAUUCAUAGGCUGCCCAAUCAACAGGUUAUCAAUUUUGUUGGAUUAUAGGGUAAGGGAGGUAAGCAAAAUGCAUGAUCUCGAAUUUUUUGAAAUUAGUGAAAUCGACAGUAGUGAAAUUGAAUUCAAUGAUCUAAAAUCUAUUGAGAUUGAGAAAGCUGUAGUGAUUUGUAAGAACGACAUUGAGUUCUUGGUCAUGGCUAUCCAUAGUGGAAAUUGGGAAUUCGGAAAAUGGGUGAUGGUAAAUGGGCGAAACUGCUGAGGAGAGAGGAGAUUUUCCUUAUGUAGACGUUGCGUUUCAUAAUGAAAAGUUUUAUGCUAUGGAUGAUAUGGCGCCGACCAUAGCAGUUGAUCCAUCAUCUUUGGAAGUAACUCAAAUAGUCAGCAAUGAGCAUUAAUAUAGAGGAGGUCCUGGGAGUAGUUGGUGAAUUGGCUUGGGGAAUUGUUUCUGGUUGAUUUUGAUUUUGAAGAUUCUGAUGAUGAAGGCGGUGGCGGUGGAGGUAGGACUACAACCUCUUAUUUAGAACUUUACCAAUUUAGGACUAGGACGUCUCAUUUAGAACUUUACAAGUUAAAUAAAGAUCAUUUUGCUGGAUUGAAGAAGAACUGUGUUUAUUUCCCUCGUGGCUGCUUUAAUGUUGGCAAAGAUGAUUUCCCAGGCUGGGAUGUUGGCUUGCUUGACUUGGACGAUGAUUUUGCUCAGCCCCUGAAAUCUGUUGUUUCUAAAAUUUUUUGGCCUCCUCCAACCUGGCUCGAAUAAAGACAAAAUUGAAAGAAAGUUGUCGUGGGUUUUAAGAAUGAGAGUGAGUUUUGGGUCAUGGCUAUUUGUACUGGUGGGAAAUUGGGAGUUUGGACAAUGGGUGAUAAGAAAUGGGCAAUAGUUGAUGAUGGGUGCGAAGAUUUUCAUUUUGAGGACAUUGCUUUUCACAAUGGAAGGUUUUAUGCUGUGGAUGACAUGGGUUGGACUAUGGCAAUUCGUUCUUCAUCUUUGGACGUUACUCAAAUGGUCAGCAGUGGGCAGCGAUAUUUGGGGUUUCUUUAAGUACUUGGUGAAUUCGCUUGGAGAGCUGUUUCUGAUUGAUCAUCAUGUAGAUCUUGGUUAUGGUUUCCCCAUUGAAGAUUGGGAUGAUGAAGGCACUGAUCUCCUUAUUUAGAACUUUACAAGUUUGAUGAGAGACGCGAUUUGAUUUCUGUGAAGGACUUAGGAGAACAGAUUGGAAGGCUGGUUAGCUUGACUUGGAGAACGACAAUGCUCAGCCCCUGAAAUCUUUGUCGGAUAUUCUAAAAUUUUCUGGCCUCCGCCAACCUAGCUCAGGCAAACACCGAAUUGGAACAAAACAGAGAUGGAUUCGACCACAUCAAACUGGUCCACUCUCCGAACUGACAUGCCUGAAGAGAUUGCGAAGAGCUUAGACACUCAUACAGAAAUCCUCCAUCUACACGCUGUCUAUUCCUCUGGGUAUUCUUCAGUCCCUCUUCUACCCGAAAUCCUAACUCUCAAACUUUCAUUUCCAAUUGGUCCUGACAAUAACAGCUUCCACCCCAAGCAUAGAGGCCAUUACUUUCUCAAAAAGAGCACCUUCUACUGCCUCGAACCAUUGACGAGAAAGAUUUCAAGUUCUACCAACAACAGCAACUGGUUUGUUAGGAUUGAAGAUGCCCAUGACUCCAGGAAAGUGCGUUUCAAGGAUCCUCUUUCCAAAUUCACCAUCAAGAAAUUGGGUAAGAUUGGUAGGCUACCCCAUAGGGCUAUCAACUUGUUGGAUUAUAAGGUAAGGGAGGUAGGGAAAUCACAUGGUCUCGUAUUUGUUGAUAUUAGUAAAAAUCGAUGAUAGUAAAAGUGAAUUUAAUGAGCUGAAAUCUUUUGUGAUUCUGAAAGUUGUCAUGGGUUUUAAGAAUGAGAGUGGGUUUUGGGUCAUGGCUAUCUAUAUUGGUGGGAAACUGGGGGGGUUUGGAAAAUGGUGAUGAGGAAUGGGCAAAAGUUGAUGAUGGGUGUGGAGAUUUUUGUUCUGUGGACAUUGCUUUUCACAAUAAAAGGUUUUAUGCUGUGGAUGACAUGGGGCAGACUAUAGCAAUUGAUCCUUCGUCUUUGGAAGUUACUCAAAUGGUCAAUUGUGGGAAUUGAUAUAUGGGUUUAUAUAAGUACAUGGUGAAUUUGCUAGGAGAGUUGUUUCUAAAUAAGUGGGAUCAGGUGAUGUACGUGGGAGAUGGUUGUUGCUUCUCUGUUUCUGCUGAAGAUUUUCCUGGAUUGAAGAAGAACUGGAUUUAUUUCUCUGAUGAUAGCUUCGUUGGUGGUAAGGGUCACUUCCCCAGUUGGAAGGCUGGUUUAUUUGAGUUGGAGGACGAUGUUGCUCAGCCCCUGAAAUCUGUUGUUGGAUAUUCUAAAAUUUUCUAAGUCUCCACCAGCCUGGCUCAGGUAAUCUAUGCCAGAGGUUUAUGCAUGUGUCCAAACCUUUCGUCCAAGGAAGUUUCAUCAGAAAUAGCAAUCUGAUUAGCAGCUUGUUGUCUGUUUUGUUAUGCAGCCUUUAGUUCUCUAGUUCGGAUGAUGUCUUCUCAUAUAUUUGGUACUUAACUGAUGGCGCUGCUGUUAUGCUGAAAUGGUAUCUUUUUUGUAUAUUUUUCAGUUAUGUGGAAAUGGUAGUUUUUAGUUG